RNAcentral lists this ribosomal RNA (658 nucleotides) under uncultured bacterium. RNAcentral's name for it is "bacterial SSU rRNA". It matches the Rfam family "Bacterial small subunit ribosomal RNA", at positions 875 to 1504 of the family's 1533-position model. The record is from RNAcentral.
ACCGUAACAGACAUAGUUCGGUUGCAGACUCGUCCGCUAAGCAUAAUGUCCGCUGGAGUACCAGCCAGUGUGAACUCAAAGGAUUGACGGGACCCGCACAGCAGCGGAGCAUGUGUUAAUUCGAAGCAACGCGAAGAACCUUACCAGGGCUUGACAUCCCUCUGACAGUCCCUAACCGGGACCUUCUUCGGACAGAGGAGACAGGUGGUGCAUGGUUGUCGUCAGCUCGUGUCGUGAGAUGUUGGGUUAAGUCCCGCAACGAGCGCAACCCUUGUCUUUAGUUGCCAUCAUUUAGUUGGGCACUCUAGAGAGACUGCCGAGGAUAACUCGGAGGAAGGUGGGGAUGACGUCAAAUCAUCAUGCCCCUUAUGCCCUGGGCUACACACGUGCUACAAUGGCUGGUACAAAGAGACGCAAGACCGCGAGGUGGAGCAAAUCUCAAAAACCAGUCCCAGUUCGGAUUGCAGGCUGCAACUCGCCUGCAUGAAGUUGGAGUUGCUAGUAAUCGCAGAUCAGAAUGCUGCGGUGAACGCGUUCCCGGGUCUUGUACACACCGCCCGUCACACCAUGGAAGUUGGGGGCGCCCGAAGUUGGCCAAAUAAUAGGUUACCUAAGGCGAAAUCAAUGACUGGGGUGAGGUCGUAACAAGGUAGCCGUA